This is a long non-coding RNA of Rhipicephalus microplus (southern cattle tick), 846 nucleotides long. Lineage: Eukaryota; Metazoa; Arthropoda; Arachnida; Ixodida; Ixodidae. The record is from RefSeq and is a predicted model, not a curated record.
AGAACGCCAUCCAAACCUCUUCAGCAUAGGCAUGACCGCCGACUGCACAGCACACCAGUGGACGUGAUGUGCCAGCGUUCAAGGCUCAACAUUUCCGGAAGGCCAGUGCCUUUCAAGCUGUGUGGUCAUGAUGAAACAAGCAAGGAGCUAUUUCCGCUCAAUGAAGGGGAGAGUUCCAGUAGCGAGGACUCGCUGUGAAAGGCGCUGCCCGAUCCAGAUUUUGCCGACAUGUAUUUGUUUUGUUUUUAUGUUCUUUCAAAUUUCAAUUUCUGCUUGUUUCAUACCAAAUUAUUAAAUGUUUCCACUGCUUUGCCGCCUCAGAUUUAUGCUCUAUACAAGUUGUGUGCACGUCGCGGGUUGGUAUCUUUGAGCGCAGAUUAAUCUUUCAUUCAACCUCGCAUGCCAGUAAUUGAAACAAAGCUGUUGACGGAACAUUUGCGCUUAAAUUUUUAUGCAAGUUUGCAAUAAGUUUAAUAUUUAUUGCACCACAAUCACUGAGUCAUUAUGGACAACAAUUAUUGAGAGUGAUGUACAAUAAGCGUUUUUGGCUAGUUUUUACUGCGGUUUCUCUGCCUUUUUUACAGUUUGCUUUUAUUUUUCAGACACAGCAUCGCGAAUGUUAAGUGUAUAACUGUCAGUUUUAUUGUUAUUUUAUUAAGAAUAUAUCAUGAGAGAAAUCAGACUGCAAAAGGAGUUUUUUUUAGAUUUCAUUGUAAAUGUAGGAAAUGACAUUUUUUUAUGAUAUCUUACAAUAAAAAUGGCUGUACUUUGCCAAAACUACCCUAUGCAGUGAAUAUGCCUGUUAUGUGGAAACCAGAUGCACAAUAAAAAGAUUUUAAAUACGGA